UCCUUCUUAGCUCAGCUGGUUAGAGCAUCUGACUGUUAAUCAGUCCCGACGAGUCGGGAUAGGUUCAAGUCCUGGAGAGGGAGCAA
RNAcentral lists this transfer RNA (86 nucleotides) under Labilibaculum manganireducens. RNAcentral describes it as "tRNA-Asn". It matches the Rfam family "tRNA". Rfam says of the family: Transfer RNA (tRNA) molecules are approximately 80 nucleotides in length. Their secondary structure includes four short double-helical elements and three loops (D, anti-codon, and T loops). The record is from RNAcentral. Lineage: Bacteria; Pseudomonadati; Bacteroidota; Bacteroidia; Marinilabiliales; Marinifilaceae.